This 323-nucleotide long non-coding RNA is filed under the name Olea europaea (common olive). RNAcentral describes it as "long non-coding RNA (OEUR_LNC002664)". The record is from RNAcentral. Lineage: Eukaryota; Viridiplantae; Streptophyta; Magnoliopsida; Lamiales; Oleaceae.
UAAGGAAACCAGAUAGUGUCUAUCAGCAUUGUCAUCUUUCAUCUACAAAAAUAAAUACAAGUCCAUAAAAGCUGACUAAUGGUGAUUUUAGUAAGUUUCAAAUUCAGCAAUCCCAAAAACUUUACAUGUCCUAUGUACAGCCACACAAUCGUUUCUUCUGUGAAUAUCCAGUGACUCAAAACAAGAGAAACAGGUAAAAGAAGACAAUAGGAGCUGAAAACUUUAUCUUGCGGCAUAUUAUUGGCUGGCUCAUUUCAAUAAAAAAUUAUAAGGGGGAACAGAAAAAGAAAAAGAAAUAGACCAAAGGUUUCCUUCUCUGUGGC